UACGGGGGGGGUAAGCGUUGUUCGGAAUUACUGGGCGUAAAGGGCUCGUAGGCGGCCAACUAAGUCAUACGUGAAAUCCCUCAGCUUAACUGGGGAACUGCGUGUGAUACUGGAUGGCUUGGAUUUGGGAGAGGGAUGCGGAAUUCCAGGUGUAGCGGUGAAAUGCGUAGAUAUUGGGAGGAACACCAGUGGCGAAGGCGGCUCGCUGGACCGGUUCUGACGCUGAGGCGCGAAAGCGUGGGGAGCAAACGGG
This 253-nucleotide ribosomal RNA is filed under the name uncultured bacterium. Its description in RNAcentral is "partial 16S ribosomal RNA". It matches the Rfam family "Bacterial small subunit ribosomal RNA", at positions 524 to 776 of the family's 1533-position model. The record is from RNAcentral.